UUUUUCCAUCAAGGUAUGUACAUUGUAUUUUUUAGACAUAAUGCUAUUACACAUUUAGGCUACAAUAUAGUGCAAACAAACUCUUAAUAGGCACUGGAGAACCGAAAUAUUCAUUUGACUUGCUUUAUUGCAAUAUUCCCUUUAUUGCCGUGCUCUGGAACCAAACCUACCAUAUCUCUGAGGUAUGUCUGUGUGCCACGAUACAUGUGCCCAUUUAUUUGUUUAACUUACGUUUCCCCCUAGAAGACAGAAAGUCUUGCGUAUAAAACAUUAGUCUAGUCCCUAGAUCUAAAGCACUGAACCAGCAUUUAAAGUAUGUCCCUGCUUGUCUAAGGUUUAAUUUUUGGUGGAGGGACGCUGAAAAUAAACACAUGAAUGAGCACGUCGGCCACAUCGUGUAUCACAUCCUUCCAUGGUCUAUCAUCUCAUAAAUCACUUAAUGAGAAAAGCAAUGCAGAAAAACAGAAGAGGUAAGGGAAUAAAGAACAAUAUGGGAGAGGUAAGGUCUCUUGUUUUAAGCAGAAUGCUGAGGGAGGAGUUCACUGCUGAUGCCUGAACAGACACGAAUGAAGUGAAGGAGCGAGCCAUGCAGGAAUCUGGAGGGAGUGAAGUCUUGGCAAGAAGCAUCGGUUAAGAAAAUCACCGAAGACCCUUCGUUGGAUUGGAAACGUGGAGGUCAUUGGCUUUGACCAGGACGGUUUUAGUGGAGUUGCUGGGAUAGAAGCCUGCUUGGAAUGUGAUCAAGAGAUGACCAGAGCCGGAAAGUCUGCUUAACUCUUUGAAGACGAUGAGAGAAAUUACGGUGUUUGCUUACUGAUGGAAACGAUCUGGCAUAGAAGGCAUCGAUAAGAAGCUACCGCAGAGCAAAUCUUUGAGCAGGUGGAAGGAAAUUGAAUGGAGCGCAGAAUAGAACAUAGACAGUUGCAGAAUCGGAGUGGAAGAACAUGCCCUGUUGCCGUUGCCAUCACCCUUCUUCCACAAAAGGCUAAAGAUUUGCGAGGACUGUAGAUUGACUGAAAAGGACUUCGACUCUCCAUUGAAUGCUUGCGCUCAGAUGACCUACCUGAGGGCUUGUGUCCUGCUUUCUUCAAUGAGGUGAAUGGGAGGACACAAUAAAUUAUAUUCAAAUGGCAGUCAUGGAGGAAACUUCCCUUUCCUUCCUCAUCCACCAAGCUGAUCGAUGGGCGCUAAAGCCCCGGGGAAGCAGCAUCUGUUGUAACUCAAGGAUCCCUGCUCGAGCUGAGUAUGAAAUUAACAGACACAGAGCAGUUAGCAGCUCAACAUUUGUUCAAGUCUGGCACAUGCACACAUCAUUAGCAACUAUAUUUGAGGAGCAAGAUCAAGGAGGUGAGGAAGAGGGUGUAUCUGAUUAAAGGGAUAUUCAGGAAAGAGGAAAUUCAGAGCAUUUAGGUAAAGCUUCAUGGCUAAAAUAAAUGAACCGGAGAGCAGAGCAAACAGCCAGGGACAUGGGAUAAUUUUGCCUGUGCAACUUCCCAAACAAAGUCAUUUCACGCAGUGGAUCCCCCAGAGUGGCUGGCUGCCUCUUUUACUUCAGCUCCAUGGGCUGUCUCUCCAUUAAAAUUCGAGGGCAAAGAUUUUGCUGUCCUGUUCACUGCUGUAAUCUGGGCUCUUAGUAGAUAAAAUUAAAUAUUCAUGGAAUAAGUUAACGUAUACUUGCUCAAAGCCUGCCUUGACCUGAGCUAGGCAAAUAAAGCCUGAGAUGUUCGGCAGGAAUCCAAGGCAACGUGCGUGCCGGAAGAAUGGCAUCUUCCAACCAAAACUUGAGUGUUAAUUAAAGUGUACAGAAUUAGCGGGGAAAUAUUAUGGGACUGCCUCUCACGUGCCCCACAUUACUCUAGGCCCCGGAGGAGAUACAGUCGAAGCACAAUCACAAAGAACAGUGAAUAUUUGCUGAGGGCUUGCUAUCGGCCAGGCAUAUGCUAAACUCAUUCCUCCCAUUAGCGUGCCCAAUUCUCCCAGUACCACCUACGGGGCAGGUGGGUAGCAGGCGAUCAUCUCCAGCGGGUAUUCAAGGCAACUGGUGCCAGGUCAAUUUCAUAAUGCGCCCAGGGUCCUACAGAGAGUAAGCGGGGGAGCUGGGAGUCCCUUUGCUGUGCUCUCCACCUCCAUCCCCUGUGGCCCUUUAGGAACCUGCCCCUAAUCUGAGGACACGAAAGGGGCACCGGUGAACAACGAAGCCUUAGCCUCGGUGGCCCUGGCAACCGAAAGCGGGCGAGUCAGUGUAGACUUUGACACAGAGCUCCCGGAAGGAGGCUGUACUUGGAUCCGUCUUGAAUUUCAUCAUGGGUUUGUUUGUAUGCCCGUCUCUCCGUUCUCUAUCUACUCCUCCGCUCAUCCUCCCUCCCACCCACCCAACAAACAUGUCCUGGGUUCCACUGUGCACCAGACGCCGAGCGCCGAAGUGGAAUUUGUGCUGAGGUAGUCGUAUGGGAGCCGCGUGUGCUCCUUGGCACGAGAGGGCCAAGAUUAACCCCCCCACACACACACACCUGCCAGCAGAGGGGCUUCCCCAGCACGGGCGGUUUGGUGCUGUAAACACUGGGAAUGCUCAUACCCUUGACCCAGCAAUCUGACCUGCUGGAGUUGGCCCAGAGGGAAAUGAUCUGUGCCAAAGUCACUGCCUAUAGCGCUGUUUGUAAGGAGCACGUAUUGGAAAUAGCCACGUGUUCUUCCAGAGGGAACUGCUGAAAAAACAAAAUGAAAAACUCCACAGUACCCCCAAAGAGAUUACUAAGCAGCUGUGAAAAGGAGUGAAGAGGUGUAAUGAAGUGAUCUUUAAGACAUUUGAGUGAAAAACGCAAGGAACAUACGAACGGUAGGCUACCGCUUGGGUCAAAGGUGGGAAAUAGGAACAUGCUGGGUAGGCUAUCUAGAAAAUACCGCUGGAAGGAUGCACCAGGCACUGAUGAUGGUCUGUGGGUUUCAGUGGAAGGCACAGGGACUUGAAUGGCAAGAGGAGCAGGAGGGAUGUUUGAUGAAAUACCCUUUUGUAUGUUUUGAAUUUUGAAACUUGCACGUGGGUUAUCUAUAUUCCCCUCUAAAAAGUAAACAAAAAAUCAUGGGCAAAGACCAAGUUACCAGUGGUUUAUCUAUGAGUGACGGAGUUUUAAUUUUGGUCCUCCACAUCUCUCAAGGCGCUCAAGAGGGGAAUCCUGUGUGCCAGGAUGGGUCGGCAAUCUGGAACCCUCCCUGCCUGACUCACGCCUGAAGUGCUGUGACAUUCGGUUUCUGUCCUUGGCUGGACCGGGUACCUUUCCCAGGGUUCUCUUCCUUAGCAAGGGAGCUUAUCCCCAGACCUGGUGUUUGCGGUUUGGCAGAGGGUGGUCAGGGUGGGCUUCACGGAGAAGGUGACAUCCGCGCAGAGCUUGAAGUAGGUGAAGGAAUGGUUCCCCUAAGGGCAUUCAGGGGAAGGGAAUUCCAGGAAUACAGAAGAGCAAAUUCAAAGAAUGUGAAGUCAUAGGGUGUUGGGCUGGGCAGCAGACCUUCCAAGAAUGGAGUAUGCAAAAUGCAGAGAAGACACGAGACAAAGGCAUAGUCCACAGUUGGUGUGUGGGUGAGGAAGGUGGGGAUCGUAGACAGCCUUCUACCCCUUUCCUGGAGAUUCCACAUCCAGACAUCUGCCCAUUUCUUGACUCUGAUCUCAUGUUCCAGGUCUACUAACUGGCCUGCUCCUGGGUCCCUGAGGCCCGGUCCAUUGCUGUUGGCAUCCCGGCCUUAAGCCCUGUUUCUGUAACCAUCUCUGUGAUCUGGUCUCUCCUGGCUGCCACCAAGGAAUGGGGACCUGAAUUCCAUUCUGGGAUGGAGACUGCUGCCAGUUCAGUCCCUGUGGGGACCACGGGCAUUGUGAGGAGGGGAGACAGGAGUAGGGAAUCCGUCUUUCAAUCCCGGCUCUCACCGGUCUUCCUGCUACUUCAAAAACGGCACACCUUUCCUUCAGGUGCUUUUGAGCUCCCGAGUCCUCAUCCUCAAACACUCCUCCCCUACUUUGUGUGACAAACUUGCUCUCUUGUUUCACUCAGAAAAUGAGUGGUCCUCAAAUGUCCUCCUUGGAGAAGCAUUCCCUGACCUCCUGAUGGAAGAUGGCUGCCUCUGCCCCUCUAUUCCUUUACCCAGUUGAACGCCUUCACCCCGUAUAUGGACGUGUUUAGUCUCUGUCUCUCCUCUCUUAAAUACAAGCUUGAGGAUAGUAAGAACUUUAUCCAGAAUCCCAACACUGGCAGAUGGUUGGGCCUCCUGGAACUUGCCUCGGUGAAUGGGUCUGGUUCCAGAUUCUGGUCCCUCCAAGUCAACUGUGUCCCACUAGAGAACCAGACUCUGCCUGUCGGGGGGAUGGAGAUUCCUAGGAGUUAGGAGAUGUGUGGAUGAAUAGAAUGGCAUUAUGGGCAGGCACUCCAGGAAUACCGUUCCCCAUCCUGAAGCAGAGGGUUGCAGAGGCAAAGGCAGCAUUUGCCAACAUUAUACAUGAAAAAAAAAAAAAAUACAGGGACCUUUUACCUUCUCAGAAUCAUGCUUCUCUUGGUCUUAUCAGCUUUAAGGUGAGUGUAAAGUGCUCAUAAUUUUAAGG
Neofelis nebulosa (Clouded leopard) is the source of this 4585-nucleotide long non-coding RNA. RefSeq lists it as uncharacterized. Lineage: Eukaryota; Metazoa; Chordata; Mammalia; Carnivora; Felidae. The transcript has 5 exons. The record is from RefSeq and is a predicted model, not a curated record.